This 409-nucleotide ribosomal RNA is filed under the name uncultured bacterium. RNAcentral's name for it is "bacterial SSU rRNA". It matches the Rfam family "Bacterial small subunit ribosomal RNA", at positions 361 to 773 of the family's 1533-position model. The record is from RNAcentral.
AUCUUCCGCAAUGGGGGCAACCCUGACGGAGCAACGCCGCGUGCGGGAUGACGCCCUUCGGGGUGUAAACCGCUUUUCUUCCGGAAGAACGUGGCGCGAGCCACCUGACGGUACGGGAGGAAGAAGGACCGGCUAACUACGUGCCAGCAGCCGCGGUAAUACGGAGGGUCCGAGCGUUGUCCGGAGUUACUGGGCGUAAAGCGCGCGCAGGCGGCGGUGUUGGCCCGGCGUGAAAGCCCCCGGCUCAACCGGGGAGGGUCGUCGGGGACCGCACCGCUUGAGGGCGGUAGGGGCUGGUGGAAUGCCUGGUGUAGUGGUGAAAUGCGUAGAGAUCAGGCGGAACACCCGUGGCGAAGGCGGCCAGCUGGGCCGUCCCUGACGCUGAGGCGCGAAGGCGUGGGGAGCGAAC